GUGAGGAAUAUUGGUCAAUGGUCGUAAGACUGAACCAGCCAAGUAGCGUGAGGGAUGACUGCCCUAUGGGUUGUAAACCUCUUUUAUCUGGGGAUAAAGUGAGCCACGUGUGGCUUAUUGCAGGUACCAGAAGAAUAAGGACCGGCUAAUUCCGUGCCAGCAGCCGCGGUAAUACGGAAGGUCCAGGCGUUAUCCGGAUUUAUUGGGUUUAAAGGGAGCGUAGGCCGCUUGGUAAGCGGGCAGUGAAAUGCAGAGGCUCAACCUCUGACUUGCUGUUCGAACUGCCGGGCUUGAGUACGCACGAGGUAGGCGGAAUUUGUGGUGUAGCGGUGAAAUGCUUAGAUAUCACAAAGAACUCCAAUUGCGAAGGCAGCUUACCGGAGCGCAACUGACGCUGAAGCUCGAAAGUGCGGGUAUCGAACAGGAUUAGAUACCCUUGUAGUCC
This 445-nucleotide ribosomal RNA is filed under the name uncultured bacterium. RNAcentral's name for it is "partial 16S ribosomal RNA". It matches the Rfam family "Bacterial small subunit ribosomal RNA", at positions 354 to 796 of the family's 1533-position model. The record is from RNAcentral.